Long non-coding RNA from Gorilla gorilla gorilla (western lowland gorilla), 3242 nucleotides. RefSeq lists it as uncharacterized. The record is from RefSeq and is a predicted model, not a curated record. The transcript is spliced from 2 exons. NCBI's taxonomy places the organism in Eukaryota, Metazoa, Chordata, Mammalia, Primates, Hominidae.
CACUUUUAUCAUUGUUAAUUAGAUUAAGUGGGUCUUUGGUUUAAUUCUAUUUUUAGGGUAAUGUAAACCACAAGAUUGCUUGUGUUCUGUGCUACUACACUUUCGUUCACUGCUGUAUCUUCAGUGUCCAAGAGAAGCAUUAUACAUAUAGGUAGCAGGCACUCAAUGGGUUUUAACAGAAAGACACAUACACACACACACACACACACAGAAAGAGAGAGAAAGAUAGAGAGAGAGCACACACAAGACAGUAACGGAAGGAAGCAAAGGAAAGGAGGGAGAAAGGCAGGGAGAAAGGCAGAAGGGGAGAAGAGCUGCUUGGUAAAGGUGCAGUAGGAAGUUUCACCUACAGCACUGGGUAUUGUGGAAGUCAAGUGGAGGAAAGUUAACAUCUACUGGAGGCUGUUGUGUGCCAUUCACUGUUAAGCACUUUAUAACUGUAAUUUCAUUAAUCCUAAAACCAACCAAGCGAGCUGGUUAUUAUUGUUUCCCUUUUCACAGAUGAGAAAAUUGAGCUCACUGUUGUUAAGUGAUUUACAGAAGGUCAUACAGCUUACAAGUGGCACAGUCAAGAUUUAAAUUUUUGUCUCUCUGACUUAUGACUUACAUUUUAAAUGAGUUGUUCAUUUAUUCAUUCAGCAAAUAUUCAUUGAACAAUGUAGCACUCUUCCCUGAUAAUCUCAGAACCUGCGAUCCUAUAGGCUAAAGAUUCCCCUAAAGUAUUCCUAUAGGCUAAGUAAUCUCCCAAAGUAUUUCUUCAGUCAAAACCUCUCCUCUGAACUCCAGAUUCAUAUACCUACAUGCCUUUUUGACAUUCCCACUAGGGCUUUUGUAUAUACCUCAAGCUAAUAUAUACCAGUAAAAUUUUAGAUUAUAGACCCAAACUUGUCUUUUCCUCAGUCUCCAUUUUCUCUGCAAAUUACAUGUAACCAUCAAUCCUUUAUAAUCAGAAAAUUGGGAGUCAGCCUCAACUCUAAUUUUUUUAACUCUCUAAUUGUAUCUUCAUGUUCUCAAAGCUUUACAUGACCUGCACCCGCUUCCGUCUCUGACCCCAUUUCCGUUCUGCCUUAUAUCUGUUGGUCAUGCUGGCAGUUUUGAAAGCCAGAUCAAGUUCUUUCUCACAAAAGGAUUUUGCACUUGCUAUCAUCUUUUUAAAUACUUUCUCUAUCUUUCCUCUCAGGUCUCAGCUGAAAUGAAACCUCCUCAGAAAAAUUUGUUCCUGACAAAUUAUAACUCAAAAAUCAAAAAUUUCUAAGACCUUUGUUAUUCUCUUUAUCAUAGCAUUAUACUCAUUUUCUUCUUAGUACUUAGAAACGUCUAUAAUUGUUUUACUUCUUUGUUUACCAUUAAAUGUCUGUAUCCUUUAUAUACUGUAGGUCCUAUGAGUUCAUCAAAUUUAUCUAGUGUUUGUUUUUUGCUGUAAGCCUGUGGCUUGGCACUGGGCUUGGUACAUAGAAGGUAUUUGAGAAAUAUUGGUUUAAUCAACAAAUAUUUUUCAGCGGAAUGUCUUGAAGCCUAUCUGUGUAUUCAGAAUGCUUGCUCUAAGACACAUAAUUAUAUCCAUUUUACAAACAGGAAGGUUUUUGUGUCUAUCUCCAGCGUCUAGCGGGAGCUUUUUGCAUAGUUGGUGUUCAAUGACUAUUCUAUAAAUGAAUGAUGAUCAGAGAGGUUAGGUUGGUCCCCUACAGUAUUGAGCUUAGGUUCUUUGGUACUCUGACCCUUUUACCUGCUAUAGUGUGGGCAUAAAGGGAAGCUUUGAGGAGGAGACUUUAUAUUCUUCUGUAAUCUAUAGCAUUUCUUCCUUUCAUCCUGGAAACCAAUUCCAAUUAAAUUCCAAUCACAAUCUAUACAUUUUUUUUUUUUUAGAGACAGGAUCCCACUCUGUUUUCUAGACUGGGGUGCAGUAACAUGACCAUAGCUCACUGUAGCCUCAAACUCCUGAGCGCAAGUGAUCCUCCUGCCUCAGCCUCCUGAGUAGCUAGGACUACAGAAAAUGUUUGCUGACCUGUGCUCUGAAAUAUCUCAUAUCAGCGGCUGUCUGUAUGUCCUCAGGUCCUACCCCUGUAGUGCAGUGGUUUUGCUACUGCCUUAGGGCUUUCUUCUGGGCUGAGCACCCUGCCUGUGUUCCCAGCAGGUGGGAAGGGUACACGAAUUAACACUUCUAGGGAGCAGCCCUCAAACCAUGAGAGCCAAUGGAUAAAUACGCCAGCUCUCUUGCCCCUAGGUUGGGCAUGUUCUACACCAACUUCAAGUCUCCCACAGUGGUAACUGCUUUGAUAAAACACACUUCACUGACUUCUCACUCUGCCAGUGUCUCCUGAGAUCUCUCAAAUCAACAACUUGCAGGGGAAUCUUGGUUGCAGAAUAUGCUGCUAGGGGAAAUUCAAACUAAGACAAAUAUGGAUUAUUCUCAUAUAUAUUAUUUAUGGUGUCACUUUGAUGUAUAAGUUACUCAGGUGUGAUGAAAAAUUUAUAAUACCAAACAUUUGGGCCAUUUUUUUAUUACUACUAAUGGAAAGACAGAUUUUAUUAAUUGAUAGUUUUAUUUUGUAUGACAUUUAUUGGCCAAAUUUAUCCUGAAAGGUGCAGUUUGAUAAUUUUCUGAUAUUUUGAACAUAAAUGCCUAUUUCAGGAGAGUGAUUCUUGAAGUAUUGAAUUGAUCUUUCAUAUUGCAGAGUCUUUCUUUCAUCUUUUGUAAAAUUUAUAUUUUCUUGUUUUAUACUAAUAAAGUUUUCUGCUACCUCCUCAGAAAACUUCUGUUCAAAUUUUAUUUUGCAUCAAUAAUAGAUGGAAGCAAACCUAUCUAAGAGGCAGCCAAGGUAAUUUUUUUCAUAUGAUGAUUAGCAAUAGGUUCAGGAUGUUUAAAAAUAAGUAUUUCAGAAUCUGUGGAAAUGUUCAUAUUUUUUCUUUUUAUAUCCCUCAUUUCCCCUGCCUAGUGGUUAAAAUCAGUUAAAUAGUGUUAGACUACACCUCUGCCAUUUAUCCUUUGUUCAAGACCUUUGUUCAAGGUAUAGGUGUCUAUACCUUGAAUAUAACUUUAAUAUUACUACUUAAGUUACAUCACAUAUUUUAUCCAUUUGCUUAGUGAACCUAAUACUUGAUGUCCCUUGACCAUUACAAGGAGUAGAACAGAUAAUUUAAGAGAUUUCAUUAAAAAAAACCCUGAGUAAUAAAAUGUUUGAUUUAUUUUGGCCACAUUAAUGUUUUAUUGUUUAAACAAAUAAAUAGACUGCCUCAAAGUA